GACGAACGCUGGCGGCGUGCCUAAUACAUGCAAGUAGAACGCACAGUUUAUACCGUAGCUUGCUACACCAUAAACUGUGAGUUGCGAACGGGUGAGUAACGCGUAGGUAACCUGCCUGGUAGCGGGGGAUAACUAUUGGAAACGAUAGCUAAUACCGCAUAAUAUUGAUUAUUGCAUGAUAAUUGAUUGAAAGAUGCUAUUGCAUCACUACCAGAUGGACCUGCGUUGUAUUAGCUAGUAGGUGAGGUAACGGCUCACCUAGGCGACGAUACAUAGCCGACCUGAGAGGGUGAUCGGCCACACUGGGACUGAGACACGGCCCAGAAUCCUACGGGAGGCAGCAGUAGGGAAUCUUCGGCAAUGGACGAAAGUCUGACCGAGCAACGCCGCGUGAGUGAAGAAGGUUUUCGGAUCGUAAAGCUCUGUUGUAAGAGAAGAACGGGUGUGAGAGUGGAAAGUUCACACUGUGACGGUAUCUUACCAGAAAGGGACGGCUAACUACGUG
Molecule: ribosomal RNA, 505 nt
Filed under: uncultured bacterium
Lineage: Bacteria
Description: partial 16S ribosomal RNA
Rfam family: Bacterial small subunit ribosomal RNA
Source: RNAcentral